This 497-nucleotide ribosomal RNA is filed under the name uncultured bacterium. RNAcentral describes it as "partial 16S ribosomal RNA". It matches the Rfam family "Bacterial small subunit ribosomal RNA", at positions 28 to 507 of the family's 1533-position model. The record is from RNAcentral.
GAUGAACGCUGGCGGCGUGCCUAAUACAUGCAAGUCGAGCGAACAGACGAGGAGCUUGCUCCUCUGACGUUAGCGGCGGACGGGUGAGUAACACGUGGAUAACCUACCUAUAAGACUGGGAUAACUUCGGGAAACCGGAGCUAAUACCGGAUAAUAUAUUGAACCGCAUUGUUCAAUAGUGAAAGACGGUUUUGCUGUCACUUAUAGAUGGAUCCGCGCCGCAUUAGUUAGUUGGUUAGGUAACGGCUUACCAAGGCAACGAUGCGUAGCCGACCUGAGAGGGUGAUCGGCCACACUGGAACUGAGACACGUUCCAGACUCCUACGGGAGGCAGCAGUAGGGAAUCUUCCGCAAUGGACGAAAGCCUGACGGAGCAACGCCGCGUGAGUGAUGAAGGUCUUCGGAUCGUAAAGCUCUGUUAUUAGGGAAGAACAAAUGUGUAAGUAACUAUGCACGUCUUGACGGUACCUAAUCAGAAAGCCACGGCUAACUACGUG